UAAGCGGAGGAAAAGAAACCAACAGGGAUUGCCCUAGUAACGGCGAGUGAAGCGGCAACAGCUCAAAUUUGAAAUCUGGCUUCGGCCCGAGUUGUAAUUUGCAGAGGAUGUUUCUGGCGCGGUGCCUUCCGAGUUCCCUGGAACGGGACGCCACAGAGGGUGAGAGCCCCGUAUGGUUGGACACCAAGCCUGUGUGAAACUCCUUCGACGAGUCGAGUAGUUUGGGAAUGCUGCUCAAAAUGGGAGGUAAAUCUCUUCUAAAGCUAAAUACCGGCCAGAGACCGAUAGCGCACAAGUAGAGUGAUCGAAAGAUGAAAAGCACCUUGAAAAGGGGGUUAAACAGUACGUGAAAUUGUUGAAAGGGAAGCGCUUGUGACCAGACUUGCGCCAGGCGGCUCAUCCGGGGUUCUCCCCGGUGCACUCCGCCUGGCUCAGGCCAGCAUCGGUUCUUGUUGGGGGAUAAGAACGGUAGGAACGUGGCCCUCCUUCGGGAGGGUGUUAUAGCCUGCCGUGCGAUACCCUGACGGGGACCGAGGUUCGCGCUCCGCAAGGAUGCUGGCGUAAUGGUCAUCAGCGACCCGUCUUGAAACACGGACCAAGGAGUCGUCCAUUAGAGCGAGCGUUUGGGUGACAAACCCGCACGCGUAAUGAAAGUGAAACCAGGUGAGAGCUUCGGCGCAUCAUCGACCGAUCCUGAUGUUCUCGGAAGGAUUUGAGUAAGAGUUUUAACGGACGGACCCGAAAGACAGUGAACUAUGCUUGUAUAGGGUGAAGCCAGAGGAAACUCUGGUGGAGGCUCGCAGCGGUUCUGACGUGCAAAUCGAUCGUCAAAUAUGAGCAUGGGGGCGAAAGACUAAUCGAACUGUCUAGUAGCUGGUUACCGCCGAA
RNAcentral lists this ribosomal RNA (888 nucleotides) under Chrysofolia colombiana. Its description in RNAcentral is "eukaryotic LSU rRNA". It matches the Rfam family "Eukaryotic large subunit ribosomal RNA", at positions 47 to 965 of the family's 3401-position model. Lineage: Eukaryota; Fungi; Ascomycota; Sordariomycetes; Diaporthales; Cryphonectriaceae. The record is from RNAcentral.